GAGUUUGAUCCUGGCUCAGAUUGAACGCUGGCGGCAGGCCUAACACAUGCAAGUCGAGCGGAAACGAGUUAACUGAACCUUCGGGGAACGUUAACGGCGUCGAGCGGCGGACGGGUGAGUAAUGCCUGGGAAAUUGCCCUGAUGUGGGGGAUAACCAUUGGAAACGAUGGCUAAUACCGCAUAAUAGCUUCGGCUCAAAGAGGGGGACCUUCGGGCCUCUCGCGUCAGGAUAUGCCCAGGUGGGAUUAGCUAGUUGGUGAGGUAAUGGCUCACCAAGGCGACGAUCCCUAGCUGGUCUGAGAGGAUGAUCAGCCACACUGGAACUGAGACACGGUCCAGACUCCUACGGGAGGCAGCAGUGGGGAAUAUUGCACAAUGGGCGCAAGCCUGAUGCAGCCAUGCCGCGUGUAUGAAGAAGGCCUUCGGGUUGUAAAGUACUUUCAGCAGUGAGGAAGGUGGGUAUGUUAAUAGCAUACUCAUUUGACGUUAGCUGCAGAAGAAGCACCGGCUAACUCCGUGCCAGCAGCCGCGGUAAUACGGAGGGUGCGAGCGUUAAUCGGAAUUACUGGGCGUAAAGCGCAUGCAGGUGGUUUGUUAAGUCAGAUGUGAAAGCCCGGGGCUCAACCUCGGAAUUGCAUUUGAAACUGGCAAACUAGAGUACUGUAGAGGGGGGUAGAAUUUCAGGUGUAGCGGUGAAAUGCGUAGAGAUCUGAAGGAAUACCGGUGGCGAAGGCNGCCCCCUGGACAGAUACUGACACUCAGAUGCGAAGCGUGGGGAGCAAACANGAUUAGAUACCCCUGGNUAGUCCACNCNNAAACGAUGUCNANCUGGNAGGGUUGGUGGCCUNGAGCCUNGCUUUUCGGAGCUUACGCGNNNAGUA
This 881-nucleotide ribosomal RNA is filed under the name uncultured bacterium. Its description in RNAcentral is "bacterial SSU rRNA". It matches the Rfam family "Bacterial small subunit ribosomal RNA", at positions 9 to 866 of the family's 1533-position model. The record is from RNAcentral.